UUUACGAGGGUCAGGACACUGUGAGGAUUGACAGAUUGAAAGCUCUUUCUUGAUUCAGUGGGUGGUGGUGCAUGGCCGUUCUUAGUUGGUGGAGUGAUUUGUCUGGUUAAUUCCGUUAACGAACGAGACCUUAACCUGCUAAAUAGUCACGCGAACCGGUCCGCAAGGGCUCAAAGUUCGCGGCUCGACUUCUUAGAGGGACUAUUCGCACCCGCCAGCGAAUGGAAGUUUGAGGCAAUAACAGGUCUGUGAUGCCCUUAGAUGUUCUCGGCGCACGCGCGUUACACUGACGGAGUCAACGAGCGUUUUUCUUGCCCGAUAGGGUUGGGUAACCUCCUGAACUCCGUCGUGAUGGGGAUAGAUCAUUGCAAUUAUUGAUCUUGAACGAGGAAUUCCUAGGAUGCUCGAGUCAUCAACUCGCGCUGAUAAGUACCCUGCGACUUUUACGACGACUCCCGAU
RNAcentral lists this ribosomal RNA (460 nucleotides) under Vermamoeba vermiformis. Its description in RNAcentral is "SSU rRNA". It matches the Rfam family "Eukaryotic small subunit ribosomal RNA", at positions 1214 to 1665 of the family's 1831-position model. The record is from RNAcentral. Lineage: Eukaryota; Tubulinea; Echinamoebida; Vermamoebidae.